This 344-nucleotide ribosomal RNA is filed under the name uncultured bacterium. Its description in RNAcentral is "bacterial SSU rRNA". It matches the Rfam family "Bacterial small subunit ribosomal RNA", at positions 335 to 665 of the family's 1533-position model. The record is from RNAcentral.
ACUCCUACGGGAGGCAGCAGUGGGGAAUAUUGCACAAUGGGGGAAACCCUGAUGCAGCCAUGCCGCGUGUGUGAAGAAGGCCUUGGGUUGUAAAGCACUUUCAGUAGGGAGGAAGGUAGUGUAGUUAACACCUGCAUUAUUUGUACGUUACCUACAGAAGAAGCACCGGCUAACUCCGUGCCAGCAGCCGCGGUAAGUACGGAGGGUGCGAGCGUUAAUCGGUAAUUACGUGGGCGUAAAGCGCAUGCGAGGCGGCCUGUUAAGUCAGAUGUGAAACGCCCGGGGUCUUAACCUCGGAAUUGCAUUUGAAACUGGCAGGCUAGAGUCUUGUAGAGGGGUUAGAA